AGAACGAACGCUGGCGGCAUGCCUAACACAUGCAAGUCGAACGAGACCUUCGGGUCUAGUGGCGCACGGGUGCGUAACGCGUGGGAAUCUGCCCUGGGGUGCGGAAUAACUCGGAGAAAUCCGUGCUAAUACCGCAUAAUGUCUUCGGACCAAAGAUUUAUCGCCCUGGGAUGAGCCCGCGUAGGAUUAGCUAGUUGGUGGGGUAAAGGCCUACCAAGGCGACGAUCCUUAGCUGGUCUGAGAGGAUGAUCAGCCACACUGGGACUGAGACACGGCCCAGACUCCUACGGGAGGCAGCAGUGGGGAAUAUUGGACAAUGGGCGAAAGCCUGAUCCAGCAAUGCCGCGUGAGUGAUGAAGGCCCUAGGGUUGUAAAGCUCUUUUACCCGGGAUGAUAAUGACAGUACCGGGAGAAUAAGCUCCGGCUAACUCCGUG
Molecule: ribosomal RNA, 435 nt
Filed under: uncultured bacterium
Lineage: Bacteria
Description: bacterial SSU rRNA
Rfam family: Bacterial small subunit ribosomal RNA
Source: RNAcentral